This 427-nucleotide ribosomal RNA is filed under the name uncultured Coxiella sp. Its description in RNAcentral is "bacterial SSU rRNA". It matches the Rfam family "Bacterial small subunit ribosomal RNA", at positions 355 to 774 of the family's 1533-position model. Lineage: Bacteria; Pseudomonadati; Pseudomonadota; Gammaproteobacteria; Legionellales; Coxiellaceae. The record is from RNAcentral.
UGGGGAAUAUUGGACAAUGGGGGCAACCCUGAUCCAGCAAUGCCAUGUGUGUGAAGAAGGCCUUAGGGUUGUAAAGCACUUUAGUUGGGGAGGAAGUGUCCGAGACGAAUAAUCUCGGAUGUUGACGCUACCCAAAGAAUAAGCACCGGCUAACUCUGUGCCAGCAGCCGCGGUAAUACAGAGGGUGCAAGCGUUAAUCGGAAUUACUGGGCGUAAAGCGCACGUAGGUGGAUACUUAAGUCAGGUGUGAAAUCCCCGGGCUCAACCUGGGAAUUGCAUUUGAUACUGGGUGUCUAGAGUAUGAUAGAGGGAAGUGGAAUUUCCGGUGUAGCGGUGAAAUGCGUAGAUAUCGGAAGGAACAUCAGUGGCGAAGGCGACUUCCUGGAUUAAUACUGACACUGAGGAGCGAAAGCGUGGGGAGCGAACA